Molecule: ribosomal RNA, 464 nt
Filed under: uncultured bacterium
Lineage: Bacteria
Description: partial 16S ribosomal RNA
Rfam family: Bacterial small subunit ribosomal RNA
Source: RNAcentral
CUACGGGCGGCACCAGUGGGGAAUAUUGCACAAUGGGCGCAAGCCUGAUGCAGCCAUGCCGCGUGUAUGAAGAAGGCCUUCGGGUUGUAAAGUACUUUCAGCGGGGAGGAAGGGAGUAAAGUUAAUACCUUUGCUCAUUGACGUUACCCGCAGAAGAAGCACCGGCUAACUCCGUGCCAGCAGCCGCGGUAAUACGGAGGGUGCAAGCGUUAAUCGGAAUUACUGGGCGUAAAGCGCACGCAGGCGGUUUGUUAAGUCAGAUGUGAAAUCCCCGGGCUCAACCUGGGAACUGCAUCUGAUACUGGCAAGCUUGAGUGUCGUAGAGGGGGGUAGAAUUCCAGGUGUAGCGGUGAAAUGCGUAGAGAUCUGGAGGAAUACCGGUGGCGAAGGCGGCCCCCUGGACGAAGACUGACGCUCAGGUGCGAAAGCGUGGGGAGCAAACAGGAUUAGAUACCCCGGUAGUC